GACAGAGGUGCCGAGCGUUAGGCGGAAUCACUGGGCUUAAAGCGUGUGUAGGUGGAUGCCUAAGUACCUUGUGAAAUCCCACGGCUUAACCGUGGAACUGCUUGGUAUACUGGGUGUCUUGAGCCAGCUAGGGGCUACCGGGAACAAAUGGUGGAGCGGUGAAAAUGCGUAGAUAUCAUUUGGAACGCCAAUGGUGAAAGCAGGUAGCCUGGGGCUGUGGCUGACACUGGAGACACGAAAGCCCAGGGGAACGAACGGG
This 259-nucleotide ribosomal RNA is filed under the name uncultured bacterium. Its description in RNAcentral is "partial 16S ribosomal RNA". It matches the Rfam family "Bacterial small subunit ribosomal RNA", at positions 524 to 776 of the family's 1533-position model. The record is from RNAcentral.